UCCACCGAUUGACUAAGGUUUCCAGAGGAAGGCUCGUCCGCUCUGGGUUAGUCGGGUCCUAAGCUGAGGCCGACAGGCGUAGGCGAUGGAUAACAGGUUGAUAUUCCUGUACCACCUAUAAUCGUUUUAAUCGAUGGGGGGACGCAGUAGGAUAGGCGAAGCGUGCGAUUGGAUUGCACGUCUAAGCAGUAAGGCUGAGUAUUAGGCAAAUCCGGUACUCGUUAAGGCUGAGCUGUGAUGGGGAGAAGACAUUGUGUCUUCGAGUCGUUGAUUUCACACUGCCGAGAAAAGCCUCUAGAUAGAAAAUAGGUGCCCGUACCGCAAACCGACACAGGUAGUCAAGAUGAGAAUUCUAAGGUGAGCGAGCGAACUCUCGUUAAGGAACUCGGCAAAAUGACCCCGUAACUUCGGGAGAAGGGGUGCUCUUUAGGGUUAACGCCCAGAAGAGCCGCAGUGAAUAGGCCCAAGCGACUGUUUAUCAAAAACACAGGUCUCUGCUAAACCGUAAGGUGAUGUAUAGGGGCUGACGCCUGCCCGGUGCUGGAAGGUUAAGAGGAGUGGUUAGCUUCUGCGAAGCUACGAAUCGAAGCCCCAGUAAACGGCGGCCGUAACUAUAACGGUCCUAAGGUAGCGAAAUUCCUUGUCGGGUAAGUUCCGACCCGCACGAAAGGCGUAACGAUUUGGGCACUGUCUCAACGAGAGACUCGGUGAAAUCAUAGUACCUGUGAAGAUGCAGGUUACCCGCGACAGGACGGAAAGACCCCGUGGAGCUUUACUGUAGCCUGAUAUUGAAAUUCGGCACAGCUUGUACAGGAUAGGUAGGAGCCUUUGAAACGUGAGCGCUAGCUUACGUGGAGGCGCUGGUGGGAUACUACCCUAGCUGUG
RNAcentral lists this ribosomal RNA (885 nucleotides) under Staphylococcus aureus. RNAcentral describes it as "partial 23S ribosomal RNA". It matches the Rfam family "Bacterial large subunit ribosomal RNA", at positions 1333 to 2213 of the family's 2925-position model. Lineage: Bacteria; Bacillati; Bacillota; Bacilli; Caryophanales; Staphylococcaceae. The record is from RNAcentral.